CUGACACUGAGCUACUGAUUGAAAUGUUUGGAUUGAGGACCUUUACAAACCUAUCUGUUGGGCAGAUAACUUUGUCAAGACUUUAAGAUUGCCUUAAUUGGGGUCCUCUCCGAAGAAGGCGCUGACCCAAGGGUUCAAGAGCAAGCACUUUGUUAAUGGAGAAACUCCCAGAAACCCAGGUGGUGGGCACGAGAGAGGAAAAGCGAGGAAGCUAGGGAAGAUAUGCUCUCAGGCCAGUUUCUCAGACACAACUGUGGGAUCCACGGCUUCAGAAAUAUCCCGCCGGAGGGGAGUCACAGAU
This is a long non-coding RNA of Lontra canadensis (Northern American river otter), 301 nucleotides long. RefSeq lists it as uncharacterized. The transcript is spliced from 3 exons. NCBI's taxonomy places the organism in Eukaryota, Metazoa, Chordata, Mammalia, Carnivora, Mustelidae. The record is from RefSeq and is a predicted model, not a curated record.